Eptesicus fuscus (big brown bat) is the source of this 146-nucleotide long non-coding RNA. RefSeq lists it as uncharacterized. The transcript is spliced from 3 exons. The record is from RefSeq and is a predicted model, not a curated record. Lineage: Eukaryota; Metazoa; Chordata; Mammalia; Chiroptera; Vespertilionidae.
CUUAAAGCCGACCUGUCUCUCACUGUCCUGCAGGCCACCAGCCAUGGGCCUCUCAAUGUUGAUUGCUUACGACAGUGAUUUUGACCAAGAACAUGUGCUCAAUAAAUACUGCUGAAAGAAGUAAUCUGGAGGGUCCUGGAACCAAG